GACGAACGCUGGCGGCGUGCUUAACACAUGCAAGUCGAACGGAAAGGCCCUGCUUUUGUUGGGUGCUCGAGUGGCGAACGGGUGAGUAAAACGCGUGUAACCUGUCCUUGACUUUGGGAUAACUUUACGAAACUGGGGCUAAUACCGGAUAGGAGCUCUUGCUGCAUGGUGGGGGUUGGAAAGUUUCGGCUGUUGGGGAUGGACUCGCAGCUUAUCAGCUUGUUUGUCAAGUAGUGGCUUACCAAGGCUUUGACGGGUAGGCGGCCUGAGAGGGUGACCGGCCACAUUGCGACUAAGGGACGGCCCAGUCUCGUACGGGAGGCAGCGGUGGGGAAUAUUGCACAAUGGGCGGGAGCCUGAUGCAGCAGCGCCGGGAGCGGGAUGACGGCCUUCGAGUUGUAAACCGCUGUCGCCUGUAACGAGGCGUGAGUGACGGUAAUGAGUAAAGAAGCACCGGCUAACUACGUG
Molecule: ribosomal RNA, 468 nt
Filed under: uncultured bacterium
Lineage: Bacteria
Description: partial 16S ribosomal RNA
Rfam family: Bacterial small subunit ribosomal RNA
Source: RNAcentral